CCCUUAGAUGUUCUGGGCCGCACGCGCGCUACACUGACGCAUUCAACGAGUCUAAAACCUGCUCUGAUAGGGGUGGGUAAUCUUUUGAAUGUGCAUCGUGAUUGGGAUAGAUGAUUGCAAUUUUUCAUCUUCAACGAGGAAUGCCUAGUAAACGCAAGUCAUCAGCUUGCAUUGAUUACGUCCCUGCCCUUUGUACACACCGCCCGUCGCUCCUACCGAUUGAAUGAUCCGAUGAAUAUCAUGGAUUGAGGAUGCAAGUAGGUUAGCCUAUCUUCAUCUUCGAGAAGUGAAGUAAAUCUUAUCAUUUAGAGGAAGGAGAAGUCGUAACA
RNAcentral lists this ribosomal RNA (329 nucleotides) under uncultured eukaryote. RNAcentral describes it as "partial 18S ribosomal RNA". It matches the Rfam family "Eukaryotic small subunit ribosomal RNA", at positions 1470 to 1796 of the family's 1831-position model. The record is from RNAcentral.